RNAcentral lists this ribosomal RNA (484 nucleotides) under uncultured bacterium. Its description in RNAcentral is "partial 16S ribosomal RNA". It matches the Rfam family "Bacterial small subunit ribosomal RNA", at positions 30 to 507 of the family's 1533-position model. The record is from RNAcentral.
AUUGAACGCUGGCGGCAUGCCUAACACAUGCCAGUCGAGCGGUAACAGAAAGAAGCUGGCUUCUUUGCUGACGAGCGGCGGACGGGUGAGUAAUGCUUGUGAACAUGCCUUGAGGUUGGGGACAACAGGUGGAAACGACUGCUAAUACCGCAUAAUGUCUACGGACCAAAGGGGGCUUCGGCUCUCGCCUUUUGAUUUGCCCAAGUGGGAUUAGCUAGUUGGUGAGGUAAUGGCUCACCAAGGCGACGAUCCCUAGCUGGUUUGAGAGGAUGAUCAGCCACACUGGGACUGAGACACGGCCCAGACUCCUACGGGAGGCAGCAGUGGGGAAUCUUGCACAAUGGGCGCAAGCCUGAUGCAGCCAUGCCGCGUGUGUGAAGAAGGCCUUCGGGUUGUAAAGCACUUUUAGUAAGGAGGAAAGGUUAGUAGUUAAUCCCUGCUAGCUGUGACGGUACUGACAGAAGAAGCACCGGCUAACUACGUG